This 430-nucleotide ribosomal RNA is filed under the name Sesamia nonagrioides (Mediterranean corn borer). Its description in RNAcentral is "partial 16S ribosomal RNA". Lineage: Eukaryota; Metazoa; Arthropoda; Insecta; Lepidoptera; Noctuidae. The record is from RNAcentral.
UUAAAGGGCUGCAGUAUAUUGACUGUACAAAGGUAGCAUAAUCAUUAGUCAUUUAAUUGAUGACUUGUAUGAAGGAUUGGAUGAAAUAUAAACUGUCUCUUAAUUAUAUUUAGAAUUUAAUUUUUUAAUUAAAAAGUUAAAAUAAAUUAGAAAGACGAGAAGACCCUAUAGAGUUUUAUAGGUAAAAUUAAUUGAGAUUAUUUGUGAAGGUUAAAAUUAAGAUUAAUUUAUUUAUUUUGUUGGGGUGACAGAAAAAUAUGAAAAACUUUUUAUAUAUUUAAAACAUUAAUAAGUGGUUAAAUGAUCCAAUAUUAUUGAUUAUAAGAAAAAAUUACCUUAGGGAUAACAGCGUAAUUUUUUUUUUUAGUUCACAUAAAAAAAAAAGUUUGCGACCUCGAUGUUGGAUUAAGAUAAAAUUUAAAUGCAGAAG